This 87-nucleotide transfer RNA is filed under the name Planctomycetota bacterium. RNAcentral's name for it is "tRNA-Leu". It matches the Rfam family "tRNA". From Rfam's summary of the family: Transfer RNA (tRNA) molecules are approximately 80 nucleotides in length. Their secondary structure includes four short double-helical elements and three loops (D, anti-codon, and T loops). Further hydrogen bonds mediate the characteristic L-shaped molecular structure. tRNAs have two regions of fundamental functional importance: the anti-codon, which is responsible for specific mRNA codon recognition, and the 3' end, to which the tRNAs corresponding amino acid is attached (by aminoacyl-tRNA synthetases). tRNAs cope with the degeneracy of the genetic code in two manners: having more than one tRNA (with a specific anti-codon) for a particular amino acid; and 'wobble' base-pairing, i.e. permitting non-standard base-pairing at the 3rd anti-codon position. Lineage: Bacteria; Pseudomonadati; Planctomycetota. The record is from RNAcentral.
GCCCGGGUGGCGGAAUUGGUAGACGCGCAUGGUUCAGGUCCAUGUUCCAGCAAUGGAGUGGGGGUUCGACUCCCCCCCCGGGCACCA